This 497-nucleotide ribosomal RNA is filed under the name uncultured bacterium. RNAcentral describes it as "bacterial SSU rRNA". It matches the Rfam family "Bacterial small subunit ribosomal RNA", at positions 30 to 523 of the family's 1533-position model. The record is from RNAcentral.
AUUGAACGCUGGCGGCAUGCCUUACACAUGCAAGUCGAACGGUAACAGGUUAAGCUGACGAGUGGCGAACGGGUGAGUAAUGUAUCGGAACGUGCCCAGUCGUGGGGGGAUAACGUAGCGAAAGCUACGCUAAUACCGCAUACGAUCUAUGGAUGAAAGCGGGGGAUCGCAAGACCUCGCGCGAUUGGAGCGGCCGAUAUCAGAUUAGGUAGUUGGUGGGGUAAAGGCCCACCAAGCCGACGAUCUGUAGCUGGUCUGAGAGGACGACCAGCCACACUGGGACUGAGACACGGCCCAGACUCCUACGGGAGGCAGCAGUGGGGAAUUUUGGACAAUGGGCGCAAGCCUGAUCCAGCAAUGCCGCGUGCAGGAUGAAAGGCCUUCGGGUUGUAAACUAGCUUUUGUACGGUAACGAAACAAGCUCUUUCUAAUACAGAGGCGAAUGACGGUACCGUAAGAAUAAGCACCGGCUAACUACGUGCCAGCAGCCGCGGUAA